Molecule: ribosomal RNA, 133 nt
Filed under: Pogona vitticeps (central bearded dragon)
Lineage: Eukaryota; Metazoa; Chordata; Lepidosauria; Squamata; Agamidae
Source: RNAcentral
GCCUACGGCCAUACCACCCUGAAUACGCCUGAUCUCAUCUGAUCCUGGAAGCUAAGCAGGGUCGGGCCUGGUUAGUACUUGGAUGGGAUUACAUUCCUGUUCAGGCAUUUGGUGGUUCCGAGUACUGAAGGUA